GUACAAGCACUGAAAAAAAGAAAGGAGAAGAGUAUUGAUAAAACCUUGCAAACUUUCUUUUGGUCGGUCAUCCUUAAUGGUCAAUAUUUAUUGUGUGCAAAAGGUGGGACCCAAAAAUAAAUUGGAGUAUUGAACAAAAUUAUAUUGUGACCUGAAACUUUUUAGUUGAAGGAUCAACAAUAAAAAAAGCUUUGCUAUUUUUACAGCUUUGUUUUGAAAUUGCCGCUAAGAGUUGUAAGACCAAUAAGAGUUGAAUAGUCACAUUAAAAAUUUUGCGUCUUUAAGUCAACAGACAACAUUAUUUAUUUCAUAAUUAAUUAAAUCAAAUUGUUAUAAUAACCAUUUCCAUCAACAGUUAAUAAAUGAGUUAUCCUAGUUUAUGAUUUACAAUUCUUUCAAACCAUUUAUGACAAAUAUUAUUUUUAUUUUUAAUCCUUUUGUUUCUUUACCAUUUAAACAUCAAUCAUAUUCACCAUCAAGCUCACUGUUGGAUCGGUGUAUAACCUGAGCUUACUCUUUUUCAAAUUAUUUCAUUUUUAAUUAUGUGUUUACAAUUAUAUCAACCAUUUGUUUAUAUUAUGGUCAGCUUAAAUUAGUUUUUUUAUGCCUUCAUAUCAAUUAUAUUAGCUGUUAUUAAAAACUAACAAUGUUGUGAAUGAAAACUAUUGGUUUCUAGAUACAUCCUAUAAGUUUACUGUUACAUUUGGUGACUUUGUUGGCUCAUCGGGAACAAGAUUUAUUGACGCUGUUAGUGGUUUUUCAAAUAGCUAAUGGGAAAUGCAAAGUAAAAGCUAAAAUAAAGAAAGAUCAUUGAAAAUACUAAUAAAAAGGUGCUCAUCAAAGGCAUAUAUACUUAUAUACCUGUGUUGGGACGAGUAAAUGUUCUAUGAUGGUCAAUGGUAACUAUUUCGUAUCCAAAUGUAAAUAAAAGUUAACUUGAAUACAGUAGAUGUGGAUGGAUGGAUAAUUUGUAAGACUUUAAUGCAGCGGUUUUUAACAAGAAGGAGAAACAAUUGUAAUCAGAAUGGUGUUAACCUUAUGCAGAUUAAACCUUAAACAAGCAAUACAAUUUAAUUGAUGAUUGUAAACAAGAAGCAAGUCAAGAGGCAACAAAUCGAUAAUUGAUGACACUAUUUCCGAUAAUCGACUUUACUCAUUUCUCAAUCACUCACACUCAAUGAAACCAAUAUGAGACGUCCAUUUCUUACCUGGUGAAUGUUAACCUCUAAAUUUACCUGAUCAUUGAACUCGAUCAUUAGAAUCAGUCUCAAAAACUAUUCCAUAAAUUAGAGGCAAACAUUGGACUCAAGACAUACAUGGUGCUGGCAAAAUAUUGAAGAUGCUUGCCAUUUCAGAGAAAACAUUUUCCUUAUGAAGUUGACUAAUCAUUUCCAUGCGAUUUUGAUGUCAAGAAUUGCGCAUUCUCAAGAUGGAAAAGACGACCAAAUGGAUGGAUGAUGAAGAAGAGGACAAAGUCAGCUAUUAACUGCUAUAAACAGCUCAAGGCAAAGCGCAUUCAUUCAAUAAUAUCAUCGAAAUGAUCUUAAUCCUGUCUAAUUUGUCUUUCACUUUAACUUCAGUUUCUUUGCUAAUCCAUUUCAACAACUUUAAUUGAAUGCGUAUAAAAAACUGAUUCAACUUACGUCAACCUACGGCAAUUAACCUAUGUCAUUUAUAACAUUUUUAUCAUCUGAAUAACUUAACAAAGUCCAGCCUGAAGCUCAGUUAUCCCAGUGAAUUCAAUCAUUUUCCCUUUUUUUUCUCUUGAUUGUCACACAAAUUUAAAUUUAAAAGGAAGUUAUCAUCAAA
Tetranychus urticae (two-spotted spider mite) is the source of this 1809-nucleotide long non-coding RNA. RefSeq lists it as uncharacterized. Lineage: Eukaryota; Metazoa; Arthropoda; Arachnida; Trombidiformes; Tetranychidae. The record is from RefSeq and is a predicted model, not a curated record.